CUGGAGGUAUCAGAAGUGCGAAUGCUGACAUAAGUAACGAUAAAGCGGGUGAAAAGCCCGCUCGCCGGAAGACCAAGGGUUCCUGUCCAACGUUAAUCGGGGCAGGGUGAGUCGACCCCUAAGGCGAGGCCGAAAGGCGUAGUCGAUGGGAAACGGGUUAAUAUUCCCGUACUUGGUGUUACUGCGAAGGGGGGACGGAGAAGGCUAUGUUGGCCGGGCGACGGUUGUCCCGGUUUAAGCGUGUAGGUGUGUGUUCCAGGUAAAUCCGGUUCACUUUAACACUGAGGCGUGAUGACGAGGCACUACGGUGCUGAAGCAACAAAUGCCCUGCUUCCAGGAAAAGCCUCUAAGCAUCAGGUAACAUCAAAUCGUACCCCAAACCGACACAGGUGGUCAGGUAGAGAAUACCAAGGCGCUUGAGAGAACUCGGGUGAAGGAACUAGGCAAAAUGGUGCCGUAACUUCGGGAGAAGGCACGCUGACACGUAGGUGAAGUGAUUUACUCAUGGAGCUGAAGUCAGUCGAAGAUACCAGCUGGCUGCAACUGUUUAUUAAAAACACAGCACUGUGCAAACACGAAAGUGGACGUAUACGGUGUGACGCCUGCCCGGUGCCGGAAGGUUAAUUGAUGGGGUCAGCGCAAGCGAAGCUCCUGAUCGAAGCCCCGGUAAACGGCGGCCGUAACUAUAACGGUCCUAAGGUAGCGAAAUUCCUUGUCGGGUAAGUUCCGACCUGCACGAAUGGCGUAAUGAUGGCCAGGCUGUCUCCACCCGAGACUCAGUGAAAUUGAACUCGCUGUGAAGAUGCAGUGUACCCGCGGCAAGACGGAAAGACCCCGUGAACCUUUACUAUAGCUUGACACUGAACAUUGAGCCUUGAUGUGUAGGAUAGGUGGGAGGCUUUGAAGUGUGGACGCCAGUCUGCAUGGAGCCGACCUUGAAAUACCACCCUUUAAUGUUUGAUGUUCUAACGUGGACCCGUGAUCCGGGUUGCGGACAGUGUCUGGUGGGUAGUUUGACUGGGGCGGUCUCCUCCUAAAGAGUAACGGAGGAGCACGAAGGUUGGCUAAUCCUGGUCGGACAUCAGGAGGUUAGUGCAAUGGCAUAAGCCAGCUUGACUGCGAGCGUGACGGCGCGAGCAGGUGCGAAAGCAGGUCAUAGUGAUCCGGUGGUUCUGAAUGGAAGGGCCAUCGCUCAACGGAUAAAAGGUACUCCGGGGAUAACAGGCUGAUACCGCCCAAGAGUUCAUAUCGACGGCGGUGUUUGGCACCUCGAUGUCGGCUCAUCACAUCCUGGGGCUGAAGUAGGUCCCAAGGGUAUGGCUGUUCGCCAUUUAAAGUGGUACGCGAGCUGGGUUUAGAACGUCGUGAGACAGUUCGGUCCCUAUCUGCCGUGGGCGCUGGAGAACUGAGGGGGGCUGCUCCUAGU
RNAcentral lists this ribosomal RNA (1426 nucleotides) under Salmonella enterica. Its description in RNAcentral is "partial 23S ribosomal RNA". It matches the Rfam family "Bacterial large subunit ribosomal RNA", at positions 1273 to 2682 of the family's 2925-position model. The record is from RNAcentral. Lineage: Bacteria; Pseudomonadati; Pseudomonadota; Gammaproteobacteria; Enterobacterales; Enterobacteriaceae.